Molecule: long non-coding RNA, 457 nt
Filed under: Homo sapiens (human)
Lineage: Eukaryota; Metazoa; Chordata; Mammalia; Primates; Hominidae
Description: non-protein coding lnc-RASSF2-5:2
Source: RNAcentral
GGAGAAGAGGAUCAUUUCUUCACCUGGACACUGUCAUUUCUGCAUGUGACGUCUGGAACCUAUGUAUUCAUCUUGGGACUUAAAAGAAUUAAGGAGAGGACAGAGCUGAUCUAUUGUAAAUGAUGACAUGCAACUGGGGAAUGCUUUGUCCCUUGCGUUGUUUCAGAGUUACUGAAUUACCGACUUGGAGGGGCUCCAAUUUUGUUUUCUCUUGGAAACUGGAUCUGACUCCCAUAAAGAAGCCCAUGCUAACCUGCUAAAGAAUAAGACCAUACGGAAGAAAGAUGAGUUGUUUAACUGGGGCCAUUCUGGACUAUCCAGCCUACAGCAAACCCGCCAGCUGACUGUAGAUGCGGGAGCAAACCCAGCCAAGAUCAGCCAAGAUCAGCCAAUCCCAGCAAAGACAAGAAGAACAUCCUAGGUGGCCAAUAAACUUUUGAUCAAAAUAAAUCCUUUA